This 26-nucleotide unclassified non-coding RNA is filed under the name Mus musculus (house mouse). RNAcentral's name for it is "oocyte_clustered_small_RNA10609". The record is from RNAcentral. Lineage: Eukaryota; Metazoa; Chordata; Mammalia; Rodentia; Muridae.
UGAGGCAAGAACACUGCUUUCAGGCU